GGGGUUAGGACCUUCUAGGAAUUGAAGGGGUUCAAAGUUGGUAUUAUUUUUUUUUACGUGUCCACCGUACAUUCUUUCGGCAAGUCUCGCCAGCUCCGUACGGCAAAGUUCGACACCGGACAUAGCUCAAAUGAAAGGUAAUGAAUCAGAGCAGGACCCACUUAAAUGAUUUUUUGGGGGUUAGGACCUUCUGGGAAUUGAAGGGGUUCAAAGUUGGUAUUAUUUUUUUUUUACGUGUCCACCGUACAUUCUUUCGGCAAGUCUCGCCAGCUCCGUACGGCAAAGUUCGACAUCGGACAUAGCUCAAAUGAAAGGUAAUGAAUCAGAGCAGGACCCACUUGAAUGAUUUUUUGGGGGUUAGGACCUUCUGGGAAUUGAAGGGGUUCAAAGUUGACAUUCAAAGUGUACGGGUUUUUUUUAAACAAAAAAAUCUUUACUUUUCUUUUAAGUAAGGAUGCAUGCCGUACAAAAUAGUGCACGUAUACUUUCAAUUCAAAAUAUUGUUUGUGGGCAUGAAAUGUACUCUUACAGUUUGUUAUUUUGUAUGUUUUCAUUUUCAGAAUAGGGAAUAGACAUUAAAAGUUCCUUUUCUAGAAAACAAAGGAUAUUUGAGGAUGCCGAGUGUAUGGAAAGCCAGUAUAUAGUUAUUCUUUCGCACAUAAUAUUUUUCUUAUUUCGUUUAUUUGAAAGCUGAUACAUUGUACAAAGGAACAAGUUUAAGUGAACUCACAUUACAUAGUUAUUCUAUGCUCCGCCUACGACAGUAAAGCCCAUAAUAUUAUCUGGGUUUUUUUUUGUUCGUUCGUUCGUUAAUUCGUUUGUCCGUUUGUCCGUCCAUUCAUACUGCAUUAGAAUGACGUAAGUGUUGAAUCUA
Molecule: long non-coding RNA, 874 nt
Organism: Mytilus californianus (California mussel)
Lineage: Eukaryota; Metazoa; Mollusca; Bivalvia; Mytilida; Mytilidae
Exons: 3
Source: RefSeq, a predicted model, not a curated record